RNAcentral lists this ribosomal RNA (1270 nucleotides) under Agromyces italicus. RNAcentral's name for it is "bacterial SSU rRNA". It matches the Rfam family "Bacterial small subunit ribosomal RNA", at positions 98 to 1364 of the family's 1533-position model. The record is from RNAcentral. Lineage: Bacteria; Bacillati; Actinomycetota; Actinomycetes; Micrococcales; Microbacteriaceae.
GCGAACGGGUGAGUACAGUGAGUAACCUGCCCUGGACUCUGGAUAAGCGUUGGAAACGACGUCUAAUACCGGAUAGGACCUCGGAUCGCAUGAUCUGGGGUGGAAAGUUAUCGGUCUGGGAUGGACUCGCGGCCUAUCAGCUUGUUGGUGAGGUAAUGGCUCACAGGCGCUGGACGCGUUAGCACGGCGUAGAAGGGUGACGGCCACAACUUGGGACUGAGACUCGAGACCAGAUUCUUACGAGAGGCCAGCCAGGGGGGAAUUAUUGUCACCAUUGAGCGCCAAGCCUGAUGCAGGCAACGCCCGCGUGCGGGAUGACGCCUUUAGGUAUGUAAACGCCUUUUAGUAGGGAAGAAGGGGUUCGGCUGGACCGGUACCUGCAGAAAAAGGACCGGCUAAUUACGUGCCAGCAGCCGCCGGUAAUACGUAGGGUCCGAGCGUUGUCCGGGAAAUUAUUGGGCGUAAAGAGCUCGUAGGCGGUUUGUCCGCGUCCUGCUGUGAAAACUAGAGGCUCAACCUCUAGCUGCAGUGGGUACGGGCAGACUUGAGUGCGGUAGGGGAGAAUGGAAUUCCUGGUGUAGCGGUGGAAUGCGCAGAUAUCAGGAGGAACACCGAUGGCGAAGGCAGUUCUCUGGGCCGUAACUGACGCUGAGGAGCGAAAGCGUGGGGAGCGAACAGGAUUAGAUACCCUGGUAGUCCACGCCGUAAACGUUGGGCGCUAGAUGUGGGGACCUUUCCACGGUUUCCGUGUCGUAGCUAACGCAUUAAGCGCCCCGCCUGGGGAGUACGGCCGCAAGGCUAAAACUCAAAGGAAUUGACGGGGGCCCGCACAAGCGGCGGAGCAUGCGGAUUAAUUCGAUGCAACGCGAAGAACCUUACCAAGGCUUGACAUACACGAGAACGGGCCAGAAAUGGUCAACUCUUUGGACACUCGUGAACAGGUGGUGCAUGGUUGUCGUCAGCUCGUGUCGUGAGAUGUUGGGUUAAGUCCCGCAACGAGCGCAACCCUCGUCGCAUGUUGCCAGCACGUUAUGGUGGGAACUCAUGUGAGACUGCCGGGGUCAACUCGGAGGAAGGUGGGGAUGACGUCAAAUCAUCAUGCCCCUUAUGUCUUGGGCUUCACGCAUGCUACAAUGGCCGGUACAAAGGGCUGCGAUGUCGUAAGGCGGAGCGAAUCCCAAAAAGCCGGUCUCAGUUCGGAUUGAGGUCUGCAACUCGACCUCAUGAAGUCGGAGUCGCUAGUAAUCGCAGAUCAGCAACGUUUUCGGUU